This 273-nucleotide ribosomal RNA is filed under the name uncultured bacterium. Its description in RNAcentral is "partial 16S ribosomal RNA". It matches the Rfam family "Bacterial small subunit ribosomal RNA", at positions 523 to 796 of the family's 1533-position model. The record is from RNAcentral.
AUACGUAGGUGGCGAGCGUUGUCCGGAUUUACUGGGCGUAAAGGGCGUGCAGGCGGUUUGCUAAGUCUAGGGUGAAAGCUCCCGGCUCAACUGGGAGAGGUCCUUGGAUACUGGCAGACUUGAGGGAGGUAGAGGAAAGUGGAAUUCCCGGUGUAGUGGUGAUAUGCGUAGAUAUCGGGAGGAACACCAGUGGCGAAGGCGGCUUUCUGGGCCUUCCUGACGCUGAGACGCGAAAGCGUGGGGAGCGAACCGGAUUAGAUACCCGCGUAGUCC